CUCUCCCUCUCCUUCUUCCACCUCGCGCCGCCACCUCCGCCUCCCUCUCGCGCCAUCAUCCUCUCCUCCCUCCUGUCUCACCCUCUCCCUCUCCUUCUUCCGGCGCCGCCACCUCCGCCUCGCGCCGUCCCCAUCCUCGAGCACCGCCGCCUCCGCCUCCGCCACCGCCUUGCUGCCAGUGAGAAGAGACCGGCGCAGGUUGCUGCCAGUGAGAAGAGAUCGGCGCAGGCGAUGCGGCGGUGGGCAACUUCAAGAAGUCGAGUACUGCCAUACCAGGUGUAGGUUAGCUAUUCCAAACUUCCAAUCUUGCUACAGCUAACACAAGGCAUCAACAACCAUUAAGGUAUGCUUUUAUACUUCUAUUCCUCCAUCAUGCAGUUCAACUCUUUACAAGGCAACAAAGAACAAUGUUUUUUAUAGAAAAGAGGCAAGGAUGGACAACAGUCCUGUAAGGUGAGUAUUCAUUCUACAGAACAAUACUGGGAAGAUUGAAAAACUAGCCAGUUGGAUCUAUAAAGAUGUGAUUGAGGUCAUCGAUAUCAAUUUUUGGAAACUAUUAAGGUCGAAAUGUUAUAUGUUGCAGAUGAAUA
RNAcentral lists this long non-coding RNA (590 nucleotides) under Oryza sativa tropical japonica subgroup. RNAcentral's name for it is "lncRNA OsAzu_12g0011590". Lineage: Eukaryota; Viridiplantae; Streptophyta; Magnoliopsida; Poales; Poaceae. The record is from RNAcentral. RNAcentral also lists the same sequence under 1 other name.